This 1696-nucleotide non-coding RNA is filed under the name Kluyveromyces marxianus DMKU3-1042. RNAcentral's name for it is "small ribosomal RNA". It matches the Rfam family "Bacterial small subunit ribosomal RNA". Lineage: Eukaryota; Fungi; Ascomycota; Saccharomycetes; Saccharomycetales; Saccharomycetaceae. The record is from RNAcentral.
AUAUAAUAUAUAUAUAUCAUAUAUAUUAUAAUAUUAAUUAGAUAAUUUAAAAUAAAAUAAUAAAAAGAACAUGAUGUUGGUUCAGAUUAAACGCUAAAUAAGGACAUUACACAUGCAAAUUAAACGUUUAUUAUAUAUGUAAUAUAAUAAAUAUGUAGUGUACACGUGAGUAAAAUUUGGAAUUUUUAACUAUAAAUAAAGUUAAAUGCUUUAUAGUAUUUAUAUAUAAAUUUAUAUAUAUAAAUAUAAAGAUUAUAUAAUUAUAAUAUAAUUGUUUAUAGUAAAGCCAAUAUUGGUUUAAGAUAGUAGGUAAAUUAAAAGUUAUACCUAGUCGACGAUCCAUAAUCGAUAAUUAACGUUAGAACGAUCACGUUGACUUUGAAAUAUAGUCAAUAUCUAUAAGAUACAGCAGUGAGGAAUAUUGGACAAUGAUCGAAAGAUUGAUCCAGUUACUUAUUAGAAUGAUAUAUUAAUUAUUAAUAUUAAAAAAAUAAUAUAUAUUUAUAUAUAUUAUUAUAUUAUAUUAAAUAAAAAUAAUAUUAAUUGAUUAACAAUAAAGUUCAUAAAUAAUUAAAAUAAUGAUAUUAAUUACUUGUAUUAAUUACAAGUAUAUUUAUAUAUAUAUUUAUAUAUAUAUAGAUAUAUUUAAUAGUCCUAACCAAAAUUUGUGCCAGCAGUUGCGGUAAAACAAUGGGGGCAAGCGUUAAUCAUAAUGGCUUAAAGAAUUCGUAGAAUUAUAUAUAUUAUAUAUAUAUUAGAGUUAAUAAAUAUUAAUUAAAGAAUUAUAAUAGUAAAGAUGAAAUAAUAAUGAUAAUUAUAAGACUGGUAUACGUGAAAAUAUUAAUUAAUUAUUAACUGACAUUGAGGAAUGAAGGCUAGAGUAGCAAUCCGGAUUCGAUACCCGAGUAGUUCUAGCAGUAAACUAUGAACACCAAUUUUUAAUAUAUAAUAUUAAAAAUAAAAUGAAAAUGUAAGUGUUCCGCCUGAAGAGUACGUUCGCAAGGAUGAAAUUCAAGACAAUAGACGGUUACAGACUUAAGCAGUGGAGCAUGUUAUUUAAUUCGAUGAUCCCCGACUAACCUUACCAUAUUUUGUAUAUUUAUUUAUAUAAUUUAUAUAAAUAAUUACAGGCGUUACAUCGUUGUCUUCAGUUCGUGCUGCAAAGUUUUAGAUUAGUUUCAUGAACGAACAAAUCUCCAUAUGUAUAUUUAUCAAUUAUACAUAAUAUUUUAUAUCUAUUGGAUAUAUGAUGAAAGGAAUUAAGACAAAUCAUGAUGAUCCUUAUAAUAUGGGCUAUAGACGUGCUAUAAUUAAAUGAUAACAAAACUAUAUUAAAUUAUUAUAAAAAAUAAUAAAUUAAUAGUAUAAAACAUUUAAAUCUUUAAUAUAUUACUAUAUUAUUUAUAAUAUGGAUUAAUAUCUGAAAUUCGAUAUUAUGAAAAAAGAAUUGCUAGUAAUACGUAAAUUAGUAUGUUACGGUGAAUACUUUAACUGUUUCGCACUAAUUACUCAUCACGCGUUGAAACAUAAUGUUAUCUAAAUAUAUUUAUAUAUUUAUAUAUUAUAUAUAUCUUAUUAUAUAUAAUUAUAUUUAUAUUAUAAAUAUAUAAGAAAUAUUACGAAUUAAUGCGAAGUUGAAAUACAGUUACCGUAGGGGAACCUGCGGUGGGCUUAUUAAUAUCUCUAAUAUUCUCUU